Molecule: long non-coding RNA, 243 nt
Filed under: Elaeis guineensis (African oil palm)
Lineage: Eukaryota; Viridiplantae; Streptophyta; Magnoliopsida; Arecales; Arecaceae
Description: long non-coding RNA (EGUI_LNC077240)
Source: RNAcentral
CUACAUGUCAUAAAAAAAUUAUCUUAAAUUGAUAUUAAAUCAAUAAAGAUCUGGUUGAGUAAUUAAGGCAACGCAUUAAGAUAAGAGUCUUCACGAAGAAGGACUCUUCAUCUUCACAUGCUAAAAUGAGUAGGGCGGCAAUUAAUUUUUAGCAUGGCAUCUAGUGGGCACAGAGGAGUCCUUCUCCACUUGAAAUUGUUUCAAGUUGGAUAGAAAACCAAUUAAGAUAAACCCAAUCCCAUU